CUUAAAAGGAGAGGUGAGCAAAAUACGCAUUUAUCUCUGGGAAUCAAUUUGACUUUAUUUUCUUUCAACGGAUUCAGAUUCCAGCAUUUAUUGAUAGGGAGCGCGAAUAUCGUUUUUUAGCUGUUGUCCCUGAAUCACUAGAUGGGAAGCCCUUUACCAAUCCAGCAGUUCUCUGUGCUUCUUACACUGAUGAGGAAUUCUUUAAAUUUAGAUGCAACAGCAUCCAAGCUUAUAUUCUGUUAGAAAAUAUAGUAGAUUAUGCAAAAACACUGAACUGCCGUACGCUUAGGGUUUUAAGAGGAAGAAAUGAAAAGAAUCUCUUCUUUUUUUAAUUUUACUUGGUAACUCAUACAACACACAGUACUUUUUUUUUUUUUUUGUGUUAAAAAUACGACAUACUACUUCUUUUGCAACUAAUUUGUAACAUUUCCUAUGUUACUCGUAUUGCUUCCAAUAUAGUUAUCCGAUCAGUUUAUUAUUUAGUGAUAAAAAGAGUGCUAACAAUAUAUUUUUUUAACACCCUAGAUAAAAAAAUAUAUUCUCCGACACCGCCUUAAAGCAACAUAUGUGAUAUUUUGAUCAACGUGCCCCCCUUUCUAUUUAACUGUGUGUUCUCCUUCUAAUUGUCUUAAAAGUUAAAAACUGAUUUUGGUACUUGUUAACUGAAAAUUUUGUUUUAAUGUAAAUGUAUAGUUAAAGGGUUAUAAGGUUGACUUUGUGUGGAGCAAGAAGGGAGGGAAUGAGAGAUUAUAAGUUCGAAUCAUUUUGUUAAUAAAAAUUAACAACUAAUAUUGAUCGAUAAAAAAAAUAUAAUUUCAAUUAAUUUAAACACACAUCUUAAUCAAUUAAAAUUAAACUAACUAGAAAAAGUUAUAAGGGCAUGUCAAUUAUAUCUUCCACAUGAGAAUGUAAAUUUGGAAUUACCAAAGUGAGGCCAACAUAAUUACCUCCUACUAGCAUUGGUUCCUUGUUAAGGUUUCUUAAUAUUUUAUUAUUACUUUUAGCCUAAGAAGCCAACAUUUUUUAUUUUCUUUGGUGAGAUAAGAAGCCAACAUUGUAUUGAGUUUGCAUCACAUCAAACUAGAUUAAUUGAGAUGUUACAGGGUGAAACUUACUCUGCCUCGUGUUAGCGUGAGUUUUUAUCUUUUCCCCUCCUAUAUUUUACAUACCAUAUGUCCGUGACCUUUUUAGAACAGAGGGCCGAGAAAAAUAUUUUCAACAAUUCGGGGAGUAUAAGAUCCAUAAGAUUUGGCGGGAUGGUGUUUUACCAUGCCCUGUUUAUCUUGGUCACUGUGUCCUGGCUGCAAAAAGCCUCGGUGAUGAAGUCCACAAUAACUUUUUGGAUCAUACUUUCCUUGCUGACCGUAAAACGACCAUACAUCAGUACUUUGAAAAAGUGAGUACAUGCAUCUUGGAAGAAGAGCCACCUGAGUCUUUGAAAACCCGUUAUGGUGGUUGAUGUCAUGAGAUGAGAGAGUCAAUAUAGUUCUCAAUUCGCCAUUUCUGAAUUUGACUGUUCCAAUUAUUUCUUAUUUUAGCACAUCUGGAUCGAAGAGUCACAGCGGCGAACGUUGAAUGGCGGCGACAAGUAGUAGUUGUUACAAAACCAACAAAACAGAUUUCUGUUUUCUAGGAUGAAAAUGUAUUAGUGCAUGUUUGUUUUUCUGUUAAAACCUUGGCUGCACGAAUUCCCAUACAUUUAAACGGUCGUUUGCACAUUACGAGACUCCAAAAGCAGAAAUAAUUCCUUUGUUACUUUUGAAAAAUCGCAAGUUACCUUAAUAGGCCAGCAAAUGUUUACUGUAGAAUAAUAUUUAUAUACUGUGAAUAAAAACUGGCAACAGCGCCCUUUCAACAAAUAUUUAUAGAAAAA
This is a long non-coding RNA of Glycine soja, 1873 nucleotides long. RefSeq lists it as uncharacterized. The transcript has 4 exons. Lineage: Eukaryota; Viridiplantae; Streptophyta; Magnoliopsida; Fabales; Fabaceae. The record is from RefSeq and is a predicted model, not a curated record.